GUCCAUGCCGUAAACGUUGGGCACUAGGUGUGGGGGACAUUCCACGUUUUCCGCGCCGUAGCUAACGCAUUAAGUGCCCCGCCUGGGGGAGUACGGCCGCAAGGCUAAAACUCAAAGGAAUUGACGGGGGCCCGCACAAGCGGCGGAGCAUGCGGAUUAAUUCGAUGCAACGCGAAGAACCUUACCAAGGCUUGACAUGAACCGGAAACACCUGGAAACAGGUGCCCCGCUUGCGGUCGGUUUACAGGUGGUGCAUGGUUGUCGU
This 265-nucleotide ribosomal RNA is filed under the name uncultured bacterium. RNAcentral's name for it is "partial 16S ribosomal RNA". It matches the Rfam family "Bacterial small subunit ribosomal RNA", at positions 793 to 1055 of the family's 1533-position model. The record is from RNAcentral.